AUGAGAUAUCGAGAGAAGAAGAAACACGUUCAGAACCGCCCUACUCCGACGCUGCACAACCGCUCGCCAGCCUCAAGCAUCGCCGAUUGGUUGCAGACAUUCUCUCCGACUCAAACCGUCCGCGUUUCACCAUUCACGGCGCACCACAGUCCCUAUUCGCACCGAUCAACACAUAGCUCUAGACCGACCACCUCCGAAAACAACAGCCGUUCAAAUCAGAUCUCAACCGCAAGCCAUCAUUCUGCCACCGACGUUUUCAGGCACAGCUCUUCCGACAAUGCGCAAGUCCCAGCCGUUCCCUCCGAUUGA
Vicia faba (fava bean) is the source of this 309-nucleotide non-coding RNA. NCBI's taxonomy places the organism in Eukaryota, Viridiplantae, Streptophyta, Magnoliopsida, Fabales, Fabaceae. The record is from the annotation of a GenBank genome assembly.